Molecule: ribosomal RNA, 438 nt
Filed under: uncultured bacterium
Lineage: Bacteria
Description: bacterial SSU rRNA
Rfam family: Bacterial small subunit ribosomal RNA
Source: RNAcentral
UACGGGAGGCAGCAGUGGGGAAUAUUGCACAAUGGGCGCAAGCCUGAUGCAGCCAUGCCGCGUGUAUGAAGAAGGCCUUCGGGUUGUAAAGUACUUUCAGUCGUGAGGAAGGUGUUAAGGUUAAUAACCUUAGCAAUUGACGUUAGCGACAGAAGAAGCACCGGCUAACUCCGUGCCAGCAGCCGCGGUAAUACGGAGGGUGCGAGCGUUAAUCGGAAUUACUGGGCGUAAAGGGCACGCAGGCGGUUAAUUAAGUUGGAUGUGAAAUCCCCGGGCUUAACCUGGGAAUGGCAUUCAAGACUGGUUAGCUAGAGUCUUGUAGAGGGGGUAGAAUUCCAUGUGUAGCGGUGAAAUGCGUAGAGAUGUGGAGGAAUACCGGUGGCGAAGGCGGCCCCUGGACAAAGGCUGACGCUCAUGUGCGAAAGCGUGGGGAGCAAA